GCAAUCUGUCAUCUCCUCUGUCUUAUUUCCAAGUGGUUCAUAUCUGAGGUGAUAGAGAGGGAAUGCUGAUUACUGGGCUGUUUCAAAGACCCCCGUCAUCUCAACUCCCCUCUCCCCGCAGUCCUCCUCAUAUCACGAUUUUUAUUUUUUUUCGGAAAGCUCAGUGACCAUCUCGCUAUGAAGGGGAAAAGCUGUCAGUCCGACCACCUGGUGUGGAGCAAGCCCUCUUCAAGGGGAGACAUCUCUUAACCAUGUGCCUGUUCACUAGAACCAGCACCCAAGAGUACCCAGAAAGCAAGAAAGAGAAGAGAGCUCUUAUAUGCCACCACCAUGGCCCCAAACCCACUCCUGUGAGUGGCCCUGAGGCUACCAGAUAGAAUGAUUAUCUAUCCGCCCAAGAAUCAAGGGAGACUGGCAAAACCUCCAGCCUGCAGGACCAGAGGGCCAAGAGGAAGAGAUUAAGAGGCAGAGCCCGUCUCUGGUGUGGACACCAAAUGAUCCACCACCUGUGCACAGCCACCUCUCAAGGGUUCUGGUGAGAGACCCCAAAAGAGGGUGAGAGACUUGAGUGGGUGUACAUGGUAGGCAAACCGUGCCCUUGAUCAAAGUGGAAUUCAUACCGCCAGAUGUCCCAACUUCCAUGGGACAGUUGGUGGCAGGGGGAGGGGUGGACACACCAUUGAUGUUCUAUAAACAAAUAGGGACCGUGUGGAAGCCAUUCCAGGGCUGGUGGCAGCAAUGGUGACAUUAUAUACCAUUUUAGGGGCAGUCACAAGCAUGGUUCCAGCAGCAGCACAGCAGCCAGGGCUAGCUGCACUCUCUGUACCAGGCAGACAGUACUGGCUUCUUCCAGAACCGCUUCUGUAAUGUGAUUUGGGUCACCGUUCUUAGUGGUUUGGCUUUCUGACCAUUCCAGGGAUUCAGAAACUAUCCAGUAUCCUUUUUAAAAAAUUUUUUUUUCUUUUUUGUUUAAAUUAGCCAUAGUUGGUUUCUCUCAUUUUGAGCUAAGCUGCCUGCCUGCAGCAGCCACUCCCGGAGGCCAGGGUCUGCUGCCAUUAGCCGCUUGGAGGCAGGUCAAGAACACAGCCCCACUGGACCCCCUGAUGACGGGCUGGAAAUUCUGGGCUCCAAGAGCAGCCAGAACUAUAACCAGAUGUGCUGCAGCCACCAUGGGCAGCCUCUCUCUGGCAUCCCUAAAUCUUAAAAAGUUGGGUUAAAAUGCACAGCUGGUCUCAGCUGCAGUGCGGAAAGCGUUGCAUCUACUCCUGGGAACCUAGUGUUAUAGGGGAGAGCGCUGUCGGCACAACCCUCAACCCCAGGAGGGCAGGAGCGCCCCCUGCCCUUUCUGAGCGCCCCUGCAGAAGAGGCCCGCAAUGCCGCUGAGAACUGCCGGUGGUCAGCGCGGAGGCUGGCCGUCCGGAAGGAGCUGAUGGAGUCACAGGCGGAGAGCCAGGGCAUGGUGACCACCCCUGCCAGCGCCACAGGGCAGGGAAGCGUGGAAAGGGAGGUGGGGGUAGAGGGAACACGCUGCUGUGGUGCCAGGGGAACACCGGAUUUGGCCCAAGCGUAGAUACAAAGAAAAAAGAUUCAGAAGUACAAUUAUCCACAUGCUAGUGGUGCAUCUCUCUGGACAAAGUAUAUUCCCCUGACUUUAUUUUGCUCUUUGUACUCCUCUGCAUUUGCCAAAGUCUCUGCAGGGACCAGGUAUUCUCUCUGCAAUCUUUGUAACAACAGAAAAUGAAAAGGGGGAGAGGAGGGAGACAGCAAGAGGAAGAAGGAGAAGAGGGAACAAGAGAAAACGACGAACAUGCUCUUGAGUGUGGCGGCGCUUCCCUGGAGAAAUAACAGCCCAAUGCCCCUGACAAUCAUUCAUUCGCUCUGCCUUUCUUUCUUUUAGGAAAGGAGUGACAACCGAUCCCUUGAGGAAACACGGAAAGGAGAAGGAGGGGCAGGUACUCCCCACGGUGAAGUAAGAGACGGGGCUUGUCUGAGCCUUCAGCAUCCGGGAACAUUUGCCAAAGGUGGCGACGACGGGGGACCCUGAGGACCUGGCCUUGCUCCAGUGCAGCAGCUGCAUCCUGCCUGCUGCCGGUGCCACGGAGCCCCUACUCCUGAGCACAGUGUUGGGGAUCCCUGCCGUCGCCAGCACCUUCCACACCCCCUCUCUACUUUAGCACCUAGAGAAAAUACGAGAGUGAUCGUUUAAGGUUAAACUAUUCUAUGAAGGAAAUAAAACUAUUGUCCAGCAA
Molecule: non-coding RNA, 2249 nt
Organism: Microcebus murinus (gray mouse lemur)
Lineage: Eukaryota; Metazoa; Chordata; Mammalia; Primates; Cheirogaleidae
Source: RefSeq, a predicted model, not a curated record